UACGUAGGGUGCAAGCGUUGUCCGGAAUUAUUGGGCGUAAAGAGCUCGUAGGCGGUUUGUCGCGUCGGCUGUGAAAUCCCGAGGCUCAACCUCGGGUCUGCAGUCGAUACGAGCAAACUAGAGUGUUGCAGGGGAGACUGGAAUUCCUGGUGUAGCGGUGAAAUGCGCAGAUAUCAGGAGGAACACCGGUGGCGAAGGCGGGUCUCUGGGCAACAACUGACGCUCAUGCACGAAAGCGUGGGGAGCAAACAGG
Molecule: ribosomal RNA, 253 nt
Filed under: uncultured bacterium
Lineage: Bacteria
Description: partial 16S ribosomal RNA
Rfam family: Bacterial small subunit ribosomal RNA
Source: RNAcentral